AUGUAUCCAUUUUUAUGUCAACGAGAUAACAGAUUAACACCACAUGCUAAUACUGUACCAAUCACUGCCUACUGAGUUAUAGGCAGCAUCAAAACAUGCAGACGUAUAAUCAUUUAUUCUUUUCACAGGUGGAGUAGAAAAACUAUAAAUUAUAUCCCAUCUAUAACGCUGAUGAUGAGAAAUUGGAUAAGCUCAGCAGCAGCACCAAAUCAAUCCAAUUUCAAGAGUAAAAUUAACUGAAAAUAAACAAUAAUAUAUAAGGAUUUACAAAAUCAAAUAAAAUGUAGAGUUCUAAGACAGUUACAACCAUAACAGUAGCUGAUCCUCAAAACUAUAUAUUUUUAUACACACACGCACAAAAUUCUCACAGGAAAAAAGAAACUGCACAGAUUCGAACAAAAACCACAAAUCAUAAUAGACAUAAGCUCACACAAAAUGAUCAUAACAGAAAAAAAGCAUGUAUCUUUGUUGUUGAAAUCAAACAACCCCAUUUUAAAAGAAUAUUAAGAGUAGGUAUACACAAAAUAAGCAAUGAAACUUACAGGUCGAAGUCGAGAAGGGCAGCGUCAAAUAGACAGCAAGAAAUGUUGAAUUGAGAUGAAGGUGAAUGUUUGAGGAAUUCGGUCAGUAAUUCAAUUAGGGUUUAGUCGAGGUUCUUCUAUAAUGGACUAUCAU
This 675-nucleotide long non-coding RNA is filed under the name Jatropha curcas. RNAcentral's name for it is "long non-coding RNA (JCUR_LNC000809)". Lineage: Eukaryota; Viridiplantae; Streptophyta; Magnoliopsida; Malpighiales; Euphorbiaceae. The record is from RNAcentral.